RNAcentral lists this transfer RNA (85 nucleotides) under Thermoplasmata archaeon. RNAcentral's name for it is "tRNA-Ser". It matches the Rfam family "tRNA". Rfam says of the family: Transfer RNA (tRNA) molecules are approximately 80 nucleotides in length. Their secondary structure includes four short double-helical elements and three loops (D, anti-codon, and T loops). RNAcentral also lists the same sequence under 2 other names. The record is from RNAcentral. Lineage: Archaea; Methanobacteriati; Thermoplasmatota; Thermoplasmata.
GCUGAGGUGGCCCAGCUCGGAAAGGCGCAGGCCUGGAGAGCCUGUGGGGCUCUGCCCCUCGAGGGUUCAAAUCCCUCCCUCAGCG